This 500-nucleotide unclassified non-coding RNA is filed under the name Hevea brasiliensis (rubber tree). The record is from RNAcentral. Lineage: Eukaryota; Viridiplantae; Streptophyta; Magnoliopsida; Malpighiales; Euphorbiaceae.
AAAACACAAAACUCACCAACUUCUUUUGAGCCUAACAACUACAAAGCAAUCAACGCAACAAUACUUCUAAUCCCUAAACGCAAGAACGCAUCAACACACCAAAACCCACCACGCCACCAAUUUUAAUCUCUUGAAAUCAACAUAGCACCUUUGCAGUUCUGCUCAUCCAUGAAUCUGGUCCUUUCUUCUUUCUCACUGUCGCAGCUCUUCAUUGUCAAGGAGACCGAUAGCGAUUCACGAUGCUCACUUAUAAGAUUCACCAUUGGAGGGCGACGAGGAUGCAACCUCCUCAAUCCCAUCAUGGCAGGCCUCAAGUGCUUUCAUCCAUGAAAGAUGUUUUAUCCCUUUCAUGCUGUUACCCGUCUCAGCGUCUGGCAAGCUCGCUUGCUCCUUUGCUCCUUAUUGUACGUACCAUGCAACAAUUAUUGAUAAGUUAUGUUUGAUUGUUGAUGUCUUGAUGACAUUUUUUAUUUUGUUGAUAAUAUAAUUAUUGAAUUAAA